This is a long non-coding RNA of Podarcis raffonei (Aeolian wall lizard), 605 nucleotides long. RefSeq lists it as uncharacterized. Lineage: Eukaryota; Metazoa; Chordata; Lepidosauria; Squamata; Lacertidae. The transcript is spliced from 3 exons. The record is from RefSeq and is a predicted model, not a curated record.
GAGCGGGAGGGCGGGAAUUCAAAACUGCGACUCUUCUCAUUUGCUAGCUGCCCAGACACUACAAGUCCCAGAAUGCACUGCUCCAGUGGCGUAAGAUCGUGCCCCUGCGCUGAGAAAGAAGUGCGCUCUGGGAGAUGUAGUCUCCGAAGUUUGAAGAACUUCGGGAGUUCAGACCCACAGAAAACGAGACCGUUGGACACCUCAAUUUCCUAGAAUUUUCUUCUUUGGCCAAUAAUAAUGAUAAUGAAUAAUGAUAAUGGGCUUUUUUUCAGUUCCGGCACCUCUCAGGUGGGCACCAUUGCCAUUCUAAGAGAAUGAGGGAGGCAUUCACGAUGAAGGGAUUGUUUUUAAAGAUGGGAGGAAAACAAGGACAGAAAAGAAAACAGGGAAUGUUUCAGUGUGAGCAUAGAAGUUUACAUCUUGCCCACUGCGUCUUUGUUUAGUCUGCUUUUCCAAGAUAUAACAUUUAUUUUAAAAUGUUAGCUCUCAGAUACAGUGAGUUAUGACCUGAACACCUUAAAAUAUAUUAUAACAAGACUUUGGCCAACAUACCCAUUUGGUUCAAAUUUACUGGAAGAGGCUUUGUAUGCAUCUGUUGUGCUAAA